UACGUAGGGGGCUAGCGUUGUCCGGAAUCAUUGGGCGUAAAGAGCGUGUAGGCGGCCCGGUAAGUCCGCUGUGAAAGUCCAGGGCUCAACCCUGGGAUGCCGGUGGAUACUGUCGGGCUCGAGUCCGGAAGAGGCGAGUGGAAUUCCUGGUGUAGCGGUGAAAUGCGCAGAUAUCAGGAGGAACACCAAUGGCGAAGGCAGCUCUCUGGGCCGAUACUGACGCUGAGGAGCGAAAGCGUGGGGAGCGAACAGG
Molecule: ribosomal RNA, 253 nt
Filed under: uncultured bacterium
Lineage: Bacteria
Description: partial 16S ribosomal RNA
Rfam family: Bacterial small subunit ribosomal RNA
Source: RNAcentral